CUGCUGAACUUAAGCAUAUCAAUAAGCGGAGGA
This 33-nucleotide ribosomal RNA is filed under the name uncultured Melampsora. Its description in RNAcentral is "partial 28S ribosomal RNA". The record is from RNAcentral. Lineage: Eukaryota; Fungi; Basidiomycota; Pucciniomycetes; Pucciniales; Melampsoraceae.